GUGGUAAUUUGUGAUGAAGAGCUAGAUAUGAGUGUUCCUUUUAAGAUGCAUUAGUCAAUUUUCUGCUUUUCAGGGACAUUUAAAGCAGAAAGUGCAUAAAUAAAAUUAAUUGCAUAACUCUGUAGACACCUGUCAAAAUCUUGACAUGUUCGGUCCUUAUAAUUGGCAUUGUAUAUUCAAAGUCAGUUUUGCAAACAGCAGGAGCACAGACUGCCUGAGAGCUGCCUGUUAAAGGGGCAGUCUGCAGUAAUGGAGGCUCUGUCAGCAAUCCUUUAUAGUUAUAGCCGCCACUAGCCAGAGUCUCACAAACCGCCUUCCCCAUUCCAAUUACUUACACAUAUACACAUACAAAGUUUUAGGGCCUGUUUUAUGAGUUUAUUACCUCUCACUGCAGUCUUGCUGAAUGUCUUGACAUCUAACCAAAGUAAAACAUCUGUGUUUGUUAAGAUGCCACUAGCCUCAAUAACAAACAAACUCCAAGAUGUAUAAUAGCUUAAGCAGAAUGAAAUUUUAUUUUAGUCACUUAAAGUCAAAAAUGAGGUGGCUGGUAUAUGCAAACUAUUACAUUUAGAAUGGAUGAGCAAUGAGGUCCUACUGUACAGCACAGGGAACUAUAUCCAGUCUCUUAGGAAAGGACGUGAUGGAAGAUAGUCUGAGAAAAGAAUAUGUGUGUGUGUGUGUGUGAGAGAGAGACUAGAUCACUGUGCUAUACAGUAGAAGUUGACACAACACUGUAAAUCAACUAUACUUUAAUAAAAAAGUAUUUUUAAAUGUGGUGGCUGGCAUAUGGUCAACUCUCAUUCAAGCAGGGAUUCAAAGAUCAGUCUCCUUCCAUCUGCUGGUUUUCUGUUUUCAAAGUGCGACUUCCAAGAUCACCUUGUUCAGUUUCAUUUAGCUGAUAGGAGGAGGAAAGGGCAUAAGGAAAACAUGUGAGGGUUUUGUGGGCCAGGUUCAGAAGUGUUGCUCCAUACUGUCACUCAAGUUCCAUGGGCUUCAAAUCCCCAGUGAAUUGGAGGCUGGGAUAUACAGCCUAGCUAUAUGUCCAGGAAGGGAAGAACACAGUUUUGAUGAAUAGCUCACCAGCAGCAUGUAAAAUUUUGAAACUGCAUUCAUAAUCACCUCUAUAAAGGGGAAGAGGAUGACCCAAAGCAAAGGCUGAAGGUGAUGGAAAAAUUGUAAAAUGUAACACAGUACUUCAUAAAUGAUUGUUAUAAUUAUAUUGAUCUUUUCAUGCAGAGGGAAACAUGCUGAUUAGUUCUGCAAUGAGUUAAACACAGCCACAAAUAAUGCUGGGCCCACUAAUGAAGCGAGCUUAAUUCUUAUAGAGGCUGAAAGAGAAGUUGGUCCAUUGAUGAUGUCUCAUUCCAGACUGGGUUGUAGAGAGAAUGACCUACAGGUCUCAAAAAAGGUAAACACCAGCUUUUAUUUCAGAAUAAAAAAUAUCAGGAAGGUGGGGAUAAAAUGCACUGCAGUCAUUCAUUUAUCCUGCACACAUUUAUUGAACACCUUCUGUAUGCCAGAUACUGUACUGACCUUUGAAAACAGAGCAAUUAGUAAGACAGAACCUUCUAGACCUCACAUGUGAAUGGGAGAAACAAACCUGGAAACUUUGUAGUCAUUAUCAUAGUUAAAAUUCUAUGAAGACAUAGUUGGGGAGUGGUGACCUCUGCUUAGAGGUAUCGGUGAAGAUUGGGUAGAGGAGAUGCCAUUUAACCAGGGGCUGGAAGCAUUGAGUCAUUUCAGAUAGAAGUGAGGCUUUUAGGAAGUAUUAAAUCAUAAUUAAAUAUCUGUACAAGCAUGGAAUCCCAGGGCUACUUUGUGGAGUUCUCUUGCCACAGCAGGUUAAGGAUCUGGCAGCAAUGGUUAACAGCAAUGGUUUGGGUCGCUGCUGUGUUGCAGGUUUGAUCCCUGGCCUGGGAACUUCCACAUGCUGCUGACAUGGCCAAAAAAAAAGUACUUUGAUUUUCUGGAAAAUAGAAACUUUAUAGUAGGAUGCAUCAGUCUGGAGAAGCCAGUUUGUGAAAAAUGGCUUCAAACUUAAGGGUGAAUGGAAUAGUAGGUCUUUGAGUGAGGUCUUAGCAAAGAGUGGACAAUCACUGUGUAUGGCAAUUCUUUGCUGUCAAGCCUCUUAGAAUCUUCUAACUACAGACCAGAAGGCACACCUGCUCACUCACUUCCAUGGUCACUCUUUUUGUAUCAUGUAUGUUCCCAAGGAAUUACGAAAGGAUACAGUAACACAGAUGAAAUUUACUGAAAUAAGUGCAGGGAGAUAAUGAAAAAAAAAGCAGUUUCUUGUCUUUAAAUAUAAGUUGUCUUUACAUAAACAGGAUGAAGCACAGUGUCCUGCUGUUGACCAUUCCCUACUUGGUAGCUCAAAUUAUGACUGAGAUGCUUGUGUAUUAGUGUUAUAUAUUCCAAGGAAAACUGGAUGGGCAAGGUCACAGAGAUGUGACUAAUAAAAUGUGUGUUAGAUAUACUACUUGUAAUAAAUUGUGAGAGGAGAGAGAUGAUUCGAUUCGAAGAAGGAAUAAUUAAACAAAUGGAAUAAUUAAACAAAUAAUUAAACAAAAGGAACCAGAAUUUAAAGAUUUGGAAAAUUUGUUUGCCUACCAACAUUGCAGAAUAUGAGAAAGCCUUCUUUGGUGAGAAUACUAAGGGUGUAACUGGACAGUCACUUUAUAAAGAGAUUAUCUAUGGAGUUCAUUGGCUACUCAGCAGAAGUUAGGACUAGAGAUAGAAUUGUAUCCAAAUAGACACUGACUACCCAUUGGGACUAAAGGAGACAGAGACGUUAUAAAAAAAAGGUUUGUGGACUUCUUGCAUUCUACAGGAAAAGAACAAUAGAAUUAUCCACUAUCCAGCUAUGAAUGUAGCCUUCCUUUAAGAAAAGGAAAGAAUGACUCUGAAGGUAAUUCAGAGAUCAGCCGUGACCCCAGGAGCAAGGCUGCCACCCUUCUUCAGUAGAGAAGGGCCUCCACCAAGAGCCCAAGGGCAGAAGGGGGAAGGCCCAAGAGAACUGGAAGGUGGAACUCUGCCCAAAUGGACCUAGAAGUCAGAACAUUAAGCUAAAGAGAAUUAUUCUCCAUCCUUAAGAACUACCUUGCUAGAUUUUAGACUUGCUUGGGACUCCUCACCCCUUCCUUCUUUCUGAUGUCUCCCUCGUGGGAUGUAAUGUCUAGCCUACAUCAUCUUCACCACUGUAUUUUGGAAGGACAUAACUUAUUUGGUUUCACAGGUUCACAUCUAGAGAGGAGUUUUGCCUCAGGACAGAUCAUACCUAGAGUCUCACUCAUACCUAAUUUAGAAGAUAUUUAGAUAAGAUGUUGGACUUGGAGUUGAUGGUGGGAUAGGUUCAGACUUUGGGAUAGGGUGCAUGUAUUUUGCAUGCCAAAAGAACAGGAAUUUGGGGAGCCAGAAAGCAGAAUAUUAUGGACUGACUUCAAAAUCCUUGCGUUGCAGCCCUGUCAGUAUGUCUGUAUUUACAAAUAGACAUUUUUUGGGAGGUAAUUAAGGUUAAUUGAGGUCAUAAGGACAGGACCUUCAUCCAAUAGCACUGGUGUUCUUAAAAGAAGAGCAAGAGAUGUCAGGAGUGUGUACCAACUAAGGAAAGGCUGAAUCAGGACAUUGUGAGAAGGUGCUGGUCUGCAAGGUAGGGAUAAGAUCCUCAUCAGAAAUGGAAUCUGCCAGAACCCUGACCUUGGACUUCUAGCCCCAUAACUAUGCAAAAAAUACAUUUUUGUUAUUUCUACUACCUAAGGGUGGUAUUUUGUUAUGAUAGCCCUAGUUAACUAAUAAUAUGUGUUUAUAUGUGAUGGACAAGUUAUAUCAUGAUGAUGAUAGUUUAUCAUAUGCAAUAAUAUAUAAAUCCCCAUUUAUACAUUAUCUCAUUGAUAUAUUCUUAAAAAAAAAUCCUUGGUGAUAGUCAUUAUUACCACUGUUUUACAGGUUAAGAAAUUCAAGUCAAACAGGAAAAAUUUAAGCAGCAGAGAGCACGUUGUUAUUCCACUGUAGUUUGGUUCCAUGUGACCAUCUUCAAAGAGCUUAACUUCUCUGAGCUUCAGUUUCAUUGUCCCUUAAGUGAUGAUGGCAUGUGUGCUGCCCUGUUCAGAGGGUUAUUUGCAUGGCUUAAAUAAAAUGACUUAGAGUAAAUCAUUAUUUGUACUCUGGUCAUGAAUGUCUUCAUCAGCAUCAUAUCAUAUUUUGGUGACUUUCUAUUUCCACUCAACUCACUGACUUUUCACAAGACUUUUCUCAAUAUAUCCCAACACCAUUGUCAGUUUCUUCCUUUAGAAGUUUCGGAUGCAGGUUUUUGUUCUGACUGCUGAUGUGUCAUUAGAAAAAGGAUUUGAAUAUAAGACUGUUUUUAAUGACCUCCUUCUAGUCAGCGGUGGAAGAAGAAUGGUUUCCUAAUGAUUUCAUUGAAUUUACACCUGAAGGGUAUUAAUAGAAAUAUUUUGAAAACGUAUUUGUAUUGAAUAGUACCAUGAAAGCAACAUAUAGGUCAUAAUAUUAAUCUUAUUCGUGUUGAGUGCCAGGCCUUUUUGCCCCUUGCUAUCUGUUGUUUUCCUAAAGUCUAACAAGGUUUAUCUGCCCUUCUUUUUUCCAUGUAACAGUAGCUUUUUUUUUUUUAACACUUCAGGUUGAACUUUAUUUCAGCAGGUUUUCUAAAUUGAGUCAAAGAUUUCAACUUCUGGCAAAUAUCUGAAUUGUAAUGUAUCAAAUAGCUUAACAAUAGGAAAUAGCUUUCAAAGAUGUUAAAACAAUAAAGCAGAUUCAAAAAAAAAUCCCACAUACACACACUUUUUGUCUCCAAUACAUAUAGUCCUUAGCCAACUUGAUUUGGUACAGCUGCUAAUGCUUUUUCACAAACAAAUGAGAAUAGACUUCUUGUUACUGAACUCAGGUCCUGCUACUUGCCACUCAAAAAAUCAAUACCUGAGAGGCAGUUGUUGAUAGAGAGGAAAGAUGCUUGAAUCAAAAAAGCUGGCAGGGAGUUCCCAUCGUGGCUCAGAGGUAAUGAACCCAACUAGUGUCCAUGAGAACAUGGAUCUCUAGCUUUGCUCCAUGGGUUAAGGAUCUGGUGUUGCCAUGGACUGUGGUGUAAGUUGCACAGGAGGCUUGGAUCCCAGGUUGCCGUAACUGUGGCAUAGACCAACAGCUGCAGCUCCAAUUUGACCCCCAGCCUGGGAACUUCCAUAUGCC
This 5202-nucleotide long non-coding RNA is filed under the name Sus scrofa (pig). RNAcentral's name for it is "lncRNA (ENSSSCG00000054243.1)". Lineage: Eukaryota; Metazoa; Chordata; Mammalia; Artiodactyla; Suidae. The record is from RNAcentral.